Molecule: ribosomal RNA, 552 nt
Filed under: uncultured fungus
Lineage: Eukaryota; Fungi
Description: eukaryotic LSU rRNA
Rfam family: 5.8S ribosomal RNA (bases 186-339)
Source: RNAcentral
AAGUCGUAACAGGUCUCCGUUGGUGAACCAGCGGAGGAUCAUUACUGAGUACUACACUCUCUACCCUUUGUGAACUAUUAUACCUGUUGCUUCGGCGGCGCCCGCAAGGGUGCCGCCGGGUCUCAUCAGAAUCUCUUGUUUUCGAACCCGACGAUACUUCUGAGUUGUCUUAGCGAACUGUCCAAAACUUUUAACAACGGAUCUCUUGGCUCCAGCAUCGAUGAAGAACGCAGCGAAACGCGAUAUGUAAUGUGAAUUGCAGAAUUCAGUGAAUCAUCGAAUCUUUGAACGCACAUGGCGCUUCCAGAUAUCCUGGGAGGCAUGCCUGUCCGAGCGUCGUUUCAACCCUCGAGCCCCUGUGGCCCGGCGUUGGGGAUCUGCCACGGCAGUGCCCCUAAACCAGUGGCGGACCCGAAGGGCCCUCUCCUUUGCGCAAGUAGCAUUCGCAUGCGCAUCGGGAGUCCUCGGCGUCCUGCCUCUAAACCCCCCACAAGCCGCUUCGGCGGCACCAAGGUUGACCUCGGAUCAGGGUAGGAAUACCGCUGAACUUAA